RNAcentral lists this ribosomal RNA (968 nucleotides) under bioreactor metagenome. RNAcentral describes it as "bacterial LSU rRNA". It matches the Rfam family "Bacterial large subunit ribosomal RNA", at positions 1960 to 2925 of the family's 2925-position model. The record is from RNAcentral.
CGAAAUUCCUUGUCGGGUAAGUUCCGACCUGCACGAAUGGCGUAACGACUUGGGCACUGUCUCGACAGGGGGCUCGGCGAAAUUGUAAUACCAGUGAAGAUGCUGGUUACCCGCGGUUAGACGGAAAGACCCCGUAGAGCUUUACUCUAGCUUGGCAUUGAGUUUUGGUAAUAUUUGUACAGGAUAGGUGGGAGACGGAGAAGCAUGGGCGCCAGUCUGUGUGGAGUCGCCAGUGGGAUACCACUCUAAUAUUGCUGGAAUUCUAACUUCAAGCCGUAAGCCGGAUGAAGGACACUGCCAGGUGGGGAGUUUGACUGGGGCGGUCGCCUCCUAAAGAGUAACGGAGGCGCCCAAAGGUUCCCUCCGCGCGGAUGGAAAUCGCGCUUCGAGUGCAAAGGCAUAAGGGAGCUUAACUGCGAGACAGACAAGUCGAGCAGGGACGAAAGUCGGGCUUAGUGAUCCGGUGGUACCGAGUGGAAGGGCCAUCGCUCAACGGAUAAAAGCUACCUCGGGGAUAACAGGCUUAUCUCCCCCAAGAGUCCAUAUCGACGGGGAGGUUUGGCACCUCGAUGUCGGCUCGUCGCAUCCUGGGGCUGGAGUAGGUCCCAAGGGUUUGGCUGUUCGCCAAUUAAAGCGGUACGCGAGCUGGGUUCAGAACGUCGUGAGACAGUUCGGUCCCUAUCUACCGCGGGCGUAGGAGAUUUGAGAGGAUCUGUCCUUAGUACGAGAGGACCGGGAUGGACGCACCGCUAGUGUCCCAGUUGUCACGCCAGUGGCAUGGCUGGAUAGCUAUGUGCGGAACGGAUAAGCGCUGAAAGCAUCUAAGCGCGAAACCGACCUCAAGAUAAGAUCUCCCACAGGGUUAACCUGGUAAGACUCCUUGUGAGAACACGAGGUUGAUAGGCCGGGAGUGUAAGUGCAGUAAUGUACUCAGCUGACCGGUACUAAUCAGUCGAGGGCUUGACCUA